UAGGGAAUUUUCGGCAAUGGGGGAAACCCUGACCGAGCAAUGCCGCGUGAACGAUGAAGGUCUUCGGAUUGUAAAGUUCUGUUGUUAGGAAAGAAAGAUAUGCAUAGGAAAUGAUGUAUAUUUGACGGUACCUGAUUAGAAAGCCCCGGCUAACUAUGUGCCAGCAGCCGCGGUAAUACAUAGGGGGCAAGCGUUAUCCGGAAUUAUUGGGCGUAAAGAGUGCGUAGGCGGUUUAUUAAGUCUGGUGUAAAAGUUCACAGCUUAACUGUGAAAGGUCAUUGGAAACUGGUAAACUUGAGUACGGUAGAGGUGAGUGGAAUUCCAAGUGGAGCGGUGGAAUGCGUAGAUAUUUGGAGGAACACCAGUGGCGAAGGCGGCUCACUGGGCCGUUACUGACGCUGAGGCACGAAAGCGUGGGGAGCAAACA
This 427-nucleotide ribosomal RNA is filed under the name uncultured Bacillota bacterium. RNAcentral describes it as "uncultured Firmicutes bacterium partial 16S ribosomal RNA". It matches the Rfam family "Bacterial small subunit ribosomal RNA", at positions 355 to 774 of the family's 1533-position model. The record is from RNAcentral. Lineage: Bacteria; Bacillati; Bacillota.